RNAcentral lists this ribosomal RNA (510 nucleotides) under uncultured bacterium. RNAcentral describes it as "partial 16S ribosomal RNA". The record is from RNAcentral.
GGAGUUAGCCGGUGCUUCUUCUGUGAGUGAUGUCCUUCCUGCCGGCUAUUAACCCGCAGGCCUUCUUCCUCACUGAAAGUGCUUUACAACCCGAAGGCCUUCUUCACACACGCGGCCAUGGCUGGAUCAGGGUUGCCCCCAUUGUCCAAUAUUCCCCACUGCUGCCUCCCGUAGGAGUCUGGGCCGUGUCUCAGUCCCAGUGUGGCUGAUCAUCCUCUCAGACCAGCUACGGAUCGUCGCCUUGGUGAGCCGUUACCUCACCAACCAGCUAAUCCGACAUAGGCUCAUCCGAAUAGCGCGAGGCCCGAAGGUCCCCCGCUUUCCCCCGUAGGGCGUAUGCGGUAUUAGCCUGGGUUUCCCCCAGGUUAUCCCCCACUACCGGGCAGAUUCCUAUGCAUUACUCACCCGUCCGCCGCUCGCCACCAGGGAGCAAGCUCCCCGUGCUGCCGCUCGACUUGCAUGUGUUAGGCCUGCCGCCAGCGUUCAAUCUGAGCCAGGAUCAAACUCUGA